Molecule: ribosomal RNA, 1381 nt
Filed under: Vibrio parahaemolyticus
Lineage: Bacteria; Pseudomonadati; Pseudomonadota; Gammaproteobacteria; Vibrionales; Vibrionaceae
Description: bacterial SSU rRNA
Rfam family: Bacterial small subunit ribosomal RNA
Source: RNAcentral
ACCUUCGGGGGACGAUAACGGCGUCGAGCGGCGGACGGGUGAGUAAUGCCUAGGAAAUUGCCCUGAUGUGGGGGAUAACCAUUGGAAACGAUGGCUAAUACCGCAUGAUGCCUACGGGCCAAAGAGGGGGACCUUCGGGCCUCUCGCGUCAGGAUAUGCCUAGGUGGGAUUAGCUAGUUGGUGAGGUAAGGGCUCACCAAGGCGACGAUCCCUAGCUGGUCUGAGAGGAUGAUCAGCCACACUGGAACUGAGACACGGUCCAGACUCCUACGGGAGGCAGCAGUGGGGAAUAUUGCACAAUGGGCGCAAGCCUGAUGCAGCCAUGCCGCGUGUGUGAAGAAGGCCUUCGGGUUGUAAAGCACUUUCAGUCGUGAGGAAGGUAGUGUAGUUAAUAGCUGCAUUAUUUGACGUUAGCGACAGAAGAAGCACCGGCUAACUCCGUGCCAGCAGCCGCGGUAAUACGGAGGGUGCGAGCGUUAAUCGGAAUUACUGGGCGUAAAGCGCAUGCAGGUGGUUUGUUAAGUCAGAUGUGAAAGCCCGGGGCUCAACCUCGGAAUUGCAUUUGAAACUGGCAGACUAGAGUACUGUAGAGGGGGGUAGAAUUUCAGGUGUAGCGGUGAAAUGCGUAGAGAUCUGAAGGAAUACCGGUGGCGAAGGCGGCCCCCUGGACAGAUACUGACACUCAGAUGCGAAAGCGUGGGGAGCAAACAGGAUUAGAUACCCUGGUAGUCCACGCCGUAAACGAUGUCUACUUGGAGGUUGUGGCCUUGAGCCGUGGCUUUCGGAGCUAACGCGUUAAGUAGACCGCCUGGGGAGUACGGUCGCAAGAUUAAAACUCAAAUGAAUUGACGGGGGCCCGCACAAGCGGUGGAGCAUGUGGUUUAAUUCGAUGCAACGCGAAGAACCUUACCUACUCUUGACAUCCAGAGAACUUUCCAGAGAUGGAUUGGUGCCUUCGGGAACUCUGAGACAGGUGCUGCAUGGCUGUCGUCAGCUCGUGUUGUGAAAUGUUGGGUUAAGUCCCGCAACGAGCGCAACCCUUAUCCUUGUUUGCCAGCGAGUAAUGUCGGGAACUCCAGGGAGACUGCCGGUGAUAAACCGGAGGAAGGUGGGGACGACGUCAAGUCAUCAUGGCCCUUACGAGUAGGGCUACACACGUGCUACAAUGGCGCAUACAGAGGGCGGCCAACUUGCGAAAGUGAGCGAAUCCCAAAAAGUGCGUCGUAGUCCGGAUUGGAGUCUGCAACUCGACUCCAUGAAGUCGGAAUCGCUAGUAAUCGUGGAUCAGAAUGCCACGGUGAAUACGUUCCCGGGCCUUGUACACACCGCCCGUCACACCAUGGGAGUGGGCUGCAAAAGAAGUAGGUAGUUUAACCUUCGG